AGAGUUUGAUCAUGGCUCAGGACGAACGCUGGCGGCACGCUUAACACAUGCAAGUCGAACGAGAGAAGAGGAGCUUGCUUUUCUGAUCUAGUGGCGGACGGGUGAGUAACACGUGAGCAAUCUGCCUUUCAGAGGGGGAUACCGAUUGGAAACGAUCGUUAAUACCGCAUAACAUAAUUGUACCGCAUGAUUUGAUUAUCAAAGAUUUAUCGCUGAAAGAUGAGCUCGCGUCUGAUUAGCUAGUUGGUAAGGUAACGGCUUACCAAGGCGACGAUCAGUAGCCGGACUGAGAGGUUGAUCGGCCACAUUGGGACUGAGACACGGCCCAGACUCCUACGGGAGGCAGCAGUGGGGAAUAUUGCACAAUGGAGGAAACUCUGAUGCAGCGAUGCCGCGUGAGGGAAGAAGGUUUUAGGAUUGUAAACCUCUGUCUUCAGGGACGAAAAAAGACGGUACCUGAGGAGGAAGCUCCGGCUAACUACGUGCCAGCAGCCGCGGUAAUACGUAGGGAGCGAGCGUUGUCCGGAAUUACUGGGUGUAAAGGGAGCGUAGGCGGGAUCGCAAGUCAGAUGUGAAAACUAUGGGCUUAACCCAUAAACUGCAUUUGAAACUGUGGUUCUUGAGUGAAGUAGAGGUAAGCGGAAUUCCUAGUGUAGCGGUGAAAUGCGUAGAUAUUAGGAGGAACAUCAGUGGCGAAGGCGGCUUACUGGGCUUUAACUGACGCUGAGGCUCGAAAGCGUGGGGAGCAAACAGGAUUAGAUACCCUGGUAGUCCACGCCGUAAACGAUGAUUACUAGGUGUGGGGGGACUGACCCCUUCCGUGCCGCAGCAAACGCAAUAAGUAAUCCACCUGGGGAGUACGACCGCAAGGUUGAAACUCAAAGGAAUUGACGGGGGCCCGCACAAGCAGUGGAGUAUGUGGAUUAAUUCGAAGCAACGCGAAGAACCUUACCAGGUCUUGACAUCGUAUGCAUAGCUCAGAGAUGAGUGAAAUCUCUUCGGAGACAUAUAGACAGGUGGUGCAUGGUUGUCGUCAGCUCGUGUCGUGAGAUGUUGGGUUAAGUCCCGCAACGAGCGCAACCCUUACUGUUAGUUGCUACGCAAGAGCACUCUAGCAGGACUGCCGUUGACAAAACGGAGGAAGGUGGGGAUGACGUCAAAUCAUCAUGCCCCUUAUGACCUGGGCCUCACACGUACUACAAUGGCUGUCAACAGAGGGAAGCAAAGCCGCGAGGUGGAGCGAACCCCUAAAAGCAGUCUUAGUUCGGAUUGUAGGCUGCAACCCGCCUACAUGAAGUCGGAAUUGCUAGUAAUCGCAGAUCAGCAUGCUGCGGUGAAUACGUUCCCGGGCCUUGUACACACCGCCCGUCACGCCAUGGGAGUCGGUAACACCCGAAGCCUGUAGUCUAACCGCAAGGAGGACGCAGUCGAAGGUGGGAUUGAUGACUGGGGUGAAGUCGUAACAAGGUA
This 1470-nucleotide ribosomal RNA is filed under the name metagenome. RNAcentral's name for it is "bacterial SSU rRNA". It matches the Rfam family "Bacterial small subunit ribosomal RNA". The record is from RNAcentral.